This 201-nucleotide long non-coding RNA is filed under the name Phoenix dactylifera (date palm). Its description in RNAcentral is "long non-coding RNA (PDAC_LNC018089)". The record is from RNAcentral. Lineage: Eukaryota; Viridiplantae; Streptophyta; Magnoliopsida; Arecales; Arecaceae.
GAAGACAGAAAAGGUUCUCUGGAAACCCUGUUAGGGUCGACCCAAGAAGAAGUUGAGUCGACCCAACUGAACCUUGAGUCGACCCAAAGAAAGGUUGGGUCGACCCAAGUGAAGGAAGGCUGAAUUUCAAGUUUCUGUGGAUUCUGAGAGGGUCGACCCAAGGAAUGUUUGAGUCGACCCAAGUGAAAGUUGGGUCGACCC